Molecule: long non-coding RNA, 417 nt
Organism: Lynx canadensis (Canada lynx)
Lineage: Eukaryota; Metazoa; Chordata; Mammalia; Carnivora; Felidae
Exons: 3
Source: RefSeq, a predicted model, not a curated record
UAUUUUCCCGAAGUAAAUUUUGCGGUUUUCAGAUUUACCAACAAUAUGUGAUUCUCAACAACAUCAUCACUGUGCUCAGUGAGAGCCAUCUCAGGAGUGGAGAAAGAAAUACCCAGCUGGACAUAUUCAUCAGAGGAGUGAAAAGGAACUGAAGAACGGAGACCAUUGUACAGCCAUUGUUGGCUGUAAGAAGUUUCAGCUUCUCCUGGGAAUGUGAUGUUUACCCAGUCAACCUGGAAUUACCCGGGCAGCCCUAGUGAGGUGAUCUGUAUGAUAGACCCCCGCCCUUCCCCCAAAAGAAGCCUGGCCGAAAUAGUCCACUCUACUAAAACUUCCUUUUCUACCCCCAUCUACCUAUAAAAGCUUUCCAUUUUGUACACUUCCUCAGAGUUCCUUUUUACUUGCUAGAGGGGAUGC